UGAAAAAUGUCCGAUGCAGCCCUUACACCUAACACCAUGUGAGGAUUGUCAUCGUACAUGUCGAUCCUUCUACUGCUAUGAAAAACACAACAUUUAAACAUGGCACCCCAAGGCAUGUAAAUCUGUAAGCAGUUGUGACAUUAACAAGAAAUGUCCAAAAUGCCAUUGUAAUUACAACCUUAAAAUAGACAACCCCCAACCUCACAUAUGUCGGAUGAUAAUCUGCACGAUCUGUAAAGGUAUGUGGUAUCCUACACUGCCCUGUCUGUAAAGGUAUGUGGUAUCCUACACUGCCCUGUCUGUAAAGAUAUGUGGUAUCCUAAACUGCCCUGUCUGUAAAGGUAUGUGGUAUCCUAAACUGCCCUGUCUGUAAAGGUAUGUGGUAUCCUAAACUGCCCUGUCUGUAAAGGGCCUUUGAAAAGCAGAGACCCUGAAGUGGUUCAAGAAGUGGAACAUGAGUGUUAUAUUCAGCCAUUGGCUGAAGAUGAACAUUCAGAGAAAUAUGUAUUUUAUGACUUUGAGAGUAAUCAACAGUCAGGGGUUCAUCUGCCUAUAUGUCACUUCUUUCCUAGAUAUUGGACGAAGGCGCAGCAGGUUGAGUGCUCAUAUUUACUUUUAUUGAACAGUAAAACAACAAAACGUACGAACGAACGAACAGGAUGCAGGCUAAACACAAAGCUAUGCAACUACAACUACCCCCAAAUACCCCAUACAAAACAACCCCUAUACAUAGGACCUUCAAUCAGAGGCAACGAGGAACAGCUGCCUCCAAUUGAAGGUCAAAUCAAUAAACUGAACAUAGACGUAAACAACCUAGAACUAACAUAGAAUGCACUAACCUAGAACCUAAACCUAAAACCCCGGUACACUCUAAACCAACACCCCUCUACAUAAACACAUAGCCCAACAAACCCCUAAACACUCUAAACAAAUACCCCCUGCCACGUCCUGACUAAACAUCAAUAACAAAUAAGCCCUUUACUGGUCAGGACGUGACACUAUAUUUGUAUCUACCAUGAUUUUCAAGGGUGAAAGGUGGUUGGCAAAGAGCCUCAAUUGUGCCCUACUCUUUCUAAAACAUUCCUUAACCUCUUAGGGCUAGGGGGCAGUAUUUACACUGCCGGAUAAAAAACGUCCCCGAUUCUGAUUACUACUCCUACCCAGUUACUAGAAUAUGCAUAUACUUAUUAGAUAUGGAUAGAAAACACCCUAAAGUUUCUAAAACUGUUUGAAUGGUGUCUGUGAGUAUAACAGAACUCAUAUGGCAGGCAAAAACCUGAGAGAUUCCUUUACAGGAAGUGACCUGUCUGACCAUUUAUUGGCUUUCUUUGACAGUGGAAUCCCGUGGCGCGUUAUUCAAAUACCUUAGAAAUGCUAUUACUUCAAUUUCUCAAACAUAUGACUAUUUUACACCAUUUUAAAGACAAGACUCUCGUUAAUCUAACCACACUGUCCGAUUUCAAAAAGGCUUUACAACGAAAGCAAAACAUUAGAUUAUGUCAGCAGAGUACCAAGCCAGAAAUAAUCAGACACCCAUUUUUCAAGCUAGCAUAUAAUGUCACAUAAACCCAAACCACAGCUAAAUGCAGCACUAACCUUUGAUGAUCUUCAUCAGAUGACAAUCUUAGGACAUUAUGUUAUACAAUACAUGCAUGUUUUGUUCAAUCAAGUUCAUAUUUAUAUCAAAAAACAGCUUUUUACAUUAGCAUGUGACGUUCAGAACUAGCAUAACCCCCGCAAACUUCCGGUGAAUUUACAAAAUUACUCACGAUAAACGUUCACAAAAAACAUAACAAUUAUUUUAAGAAUUAUAGAUACAGAACUUCUCUAUGCACUCGCUAUGUCCAAUUUUAAAAUAGCUUUUCGGUGAAAGCACAUUUUGCAAUAUUCUAAGUAGAUAGCCCAGCCAUCACGGCUAGCUAUUUAGACACCUACCAAGUUUAACCCUCACCAAAGUCAGAUUUACUAUAAGAAAAAUGUUAUUACCUUUGCUGUUCUUCGUUAGAAUGCACUCCCAGGACUUCUACUUCAAUAACAAAUGUUGGUUUGGUUCAAAAUAAUCCAUAGUUAUGUUCAAAUAUCCUCUGUUUUGUUCAUGCGUUCAAGACACUAUCCGAAGCGUAAAGAAGGGUGACGCGCCCGACGCGUUUCGUGACAAAAAAAUUCUAAAUAUUCCAUUACCGUACUUCGAAGCAUGUCAACCGCUGUUUAAAAUAAAUUUUUAUGCCAUUUUUCUCGUAAAAAAGCGAUAAUAUUCCGACCGGGAAUCUGUGUUUUAGUUCAAAGAGAGAGAAAAUAAAAACAUUGGGUCGCCUCGUGCACGCGCCUCAGUCUCAUUGUCCUCUGAUAGACCACUUACCAAAGGCGCUAAUGUUUUUCAGCCAGGGGCUGGAAUUACAUCAUUCAGCUUUUUCCCGGGUUCUGAGAGCCUAUGGGAGCCUGAGGAAGUGUCACGUUACAGCAAAGAUCCUAAGUUUUCAAUAAACAGAGUCAAGAAGCCCAAGGAAUGGUCAGAGAGGGCACUUCCUGUACAUAAUCUUCUCAGGUUUUUGCCUGCCAUAUGAGUUCUGUUAUACUCACAGACACCAUUCAAACAGUUUUCGAAACUUUCGGGUGUUUUCUAUCCAAAGCCAAUAAUUAUAUGCAUAUUCUAGUUUCUGGGCAGUAGUAAUAACCAGAUUAAAUCGGGUACGUUUUUUAUCCGGCCGUGUAAAUACUGCCCCCUAGCCCUAACAGGUUAACAACUCGUGAAUGCAACCGCAUAGCCAGAUUUCAAAAUAACUUUACUGGGAAAUCACACUUUACAAUAAACAAGGUACUAUGCUCAGAAAAACAGGCUAGGCGAUACAGACUAGCGCCAUCUUGGACUCAUCUAAAAUCAAAUAUACUAUUGUAAAUAUUCCCUUACCUUUGAUUAUCUUCAUCAGAAGGCACUUCCAGGAAUCCCAGGUCCACAACAAAUGUUGUUUUGUUCAAAGAAGUUCAUCAUUUAUGUCCAAAUAGCUCCUUCUUGUUAGCGCGUUCGAAGGCUACUCAAAAUGUACGAAGCGCGCCGAACAUGCCGCCACGAAAGUAAAACAUUUUUUAUUUACUUACGUUCGUCCAAACAUGUCAAAUGUUGUAUAGCAUAAAUCUUUAGGGCCUUUUUCAAUCAGAACUUCAAUAAUAUUCAAGGCAGACGAUUGCAUUGUCUUACAAAACGUUUCAGAAUGAAAGAGUACCCACAUGCACGGGCAACAUAGUAGUAAUGGCCCUCCCCCUAUGACAAACUUUCCAGGCUUCUCGUUUGGUCAGUUUUUACAGGAGAAGACUCAAAGCAUUUUGUAAAGACUGUUGACAUCUAGUGGAAGCCUUAGGAAGUGCUAAAUGAAUACUAACUCACUGUGUGUUUCAUAGGCAAAGGCUUGAAAAUGAUUCCACACAUCAGAUUUCCACUUCCUGUUAGGAUUUGUCUCAGGGUUUUGACUGCCAUAUGAGUUCUGUUAUACUCAAAGACACCAUUCAAACAGCUUUAGAAACUUUAGAGUGUUUUCUAUCCAAAUCUAAUAAUAAUAUGCAUAUUCUCGUUUCUGGGCAAGAGCAGUAACCAGUUUAAAUCGGGUACGUUUUUAUCCGGUCAUGAAAAUACUGCCCCCUAGCCCCAACAGGUUUUAACACAGCUUACCAACAUUAUUCACUGUUGAUAACACACCUUACCAACAUUAUUCACUGUUGUUGUUAACACACCCUACCUACAUUAUUCACUGUUAUAACACACCUUACCAACAUUAUUCACUGUUGUCUUCCUAUUUCCACAAAUUGUGGCACUUAGUUUCUAUGGGCUAGUCAACAGCCAGCCGAGUCAACAGCCAGUGGAAUCGCGUGGCGCGAAAAACAAAUACCUAAAAAAUGCUAUAACUUCAAUUUCUCAAACAUAUGACUAUUUUACACCAUUUUAAAGACAAGACUCUCGUUAAUCUAACCACAUUGUCCGCUUUCAAAAAAGCUUUACAGCGAAAGAAAAACAUUAGAUUAUCUCAGGAGAGUACCCUGCCAAAAAUUAUCACACAGCCAUUUUCAAAGCAAGCAUAUAUGUCACAAAAACCAAAACCACAGCUAAAUGCAGCACUAACCUUUGAUGAUCUUCAUCAGAUGACACUCCUAGGACAUUAUGUUAUACAAUACAU
This 4166-nucleotide long non-coding RNA is filed under the name Salmo salar (Atlantic salmon). RNAcentral's name for it is "lncRNA (ENSSSAG00000110376.1)". Lineage: Eukaryota; Metazoa; Chordata; Actinopteri; Salmoniformes; Salmonidae. The record is from RNAcentral.